GACCGCUCUGGUGGCCUAGUGGUUAGAGCACGCGCUUUGGAUGCGUAAGGUCGUUUGUUCGAAACCCAGCUAAGUCA
This is a non-coding RNA of Potamilus streckersoni, 77 nucleotides long. The record is from the annotation of a GenBank genome assembly. Lineage: Eukaryota; Metazoa; Mollusca; Bivalvia; Unionida; Unionidae.